Molecule: ribosomal RNA, 607 nt
Filed under: uncultured organism
Description: bacterial SSU rRNA
Rfam family: Bacterial small subunit ribosomal RNA
Source: RNAcentral
UGGUAAAGCUCCGGCGUUUCGAGAUGGGUCUAUGUCCUAUCAGCUUGUUGGUGAGGUAAAAGCCCACCAAGGCUAAGACGGGUAGCUGGCGUGAGAGCGCGGCCAGCCACAAUGGAACUGCGACACGGUCCAUACUCCUACGGGAGGCAGCAAUUAGGAAUCUUGCGCAAUGGGGGCAACCCUGACGCAGCGACAUCGCGUGGAGGAAGAAGGUCUUCGGAUUGUAAACUCCUUUUAUGUGGGAAGAAUGAAUGACGGUACCACAAGAAUAAGCACCUGCUAACUACGUGCCAGAAGCAUCGGUGAUGCGUAGGGUGCGAACAUUAUCCGGAGUGAUUGGGUGUAAAGAGAUGCGUAGGCAUUUUGAUAAGUCCAAUGUCAAAGCCCUCUGCUUAACGGAGGAAAGGCAAUGGAUACUAUCAGAAUAGAGUCAGAAAGGGGUGAGCGGAAUUUCCGGUGGAGCAGUGAAAUGCGUUGAUAUCGGGAGGAACACCAGAGGCGAAGGCGGCUCACUGGUUCUGUACUGACGCUAAGGCUCGAAAGCGUGGGGAGCAAAACGGAUUAGAUACCCGUGUAGUCCACGCUGUAAACUAUGUCCGCUAGGUGU